Molecule: ribosomal RNA, 301 nt
Filed under: uncultured bacterium
Lineage: Bacteria
Description: partial 16S ribosomal RNA
Rfam family: Bacterial small subunit ribosomal RNA
Source: RNAcentral
CAGUCGCCACGGUAAUACGUAGGUCCCGAGCGUUGUCCGGAUUUAUUGGGCGUAAAGCGAGCGCAGGCGGUUAGAUAAGUCUGAAGUUAAAGGCUAUGGCUUAACCAUAGUACGCUUUGGAAACUGUUUAACUUGAGUGCAAGAGGGGAGAGAGGAAUUCCAUGUGUAGCGGUGAAAUGCGUAGAUAUAUGGAGGAACACCGGUGGCGAAAGCGGCUCUCUGGCUUGUAACUGACGCUGAGGCUCGAAAGCGUGGGGAGCAAACAGGAUUAGAUACCCCAGUAGUCCCUGUCUCUUAUACA